This 484-nucleotide ribosomal RNA is filed under the name uncultured bacterium. RNAcentral's name for it is "partial 16S ribosomal RNA". It matches the Rfam family "Bacterial small subunit ribosomal RNA", at positions 30 to 507 of the family's 1533-position model. The record is from RNAcentral.
AUUGAACGCUGGCGGCAGGCCUAACACAUGCAAGUCGAGCGGAUGAAGGGAGCUUGCUCCUGGAUUCAGCGGCGGACGGGUGAGUAAUGCCUAGGAAUCUGCCUGGUAGUGGGGGAUAACGUCCGGAAACGGGCGCUAAUACCGCAUACGUCCUGAGGGAGAAAGUGGGGGAUCUUCGGACCUCACGCUAUCAGAUGAGCCUAGGUCGGAUUAGCUAGUUGGUGGGGUAAAGGCCUACCAAGGCGACGAUCCGUAACUGGUCUGAGAGGAUGAUCAGUCACACUGGAACUGAGACACGGUCCAGACUCCUACGGGAGGCAGCAGUGGGGAAUAUUGGACAAUGGGCGAAAGCCUGAUCCAGCCAUGCCGCGUGUGUGAAGAAGGUCUUCGGAUUGUAAAGCACUUUAAGUUGGGAGGAAGGGCAGUAAGUUAAUACCUUGCUGUUUUGACGUUUCCAACAGAAUAAGCACCGGCUAACUUCGUG